This 431-nucleotide ribosomal RNA is filed under the name uncultured bacterium. RNAcentral describes it as "partial 16S ribosomal RNA". It matches the Rfam family "Bacterial small subunit ribosomal RNA", at positions 29 to 505 of the family's 1533-position model. The record is from RNAcentral.
AACGAACGCUGGCGGCAUGCCUAACACAUGCAAGUCGAACGAGACCUUCGGGUCUAGUGGCGCACGGGUGCGUAACGCGUGGGAAUCUGCCCUUGGGUUCGGAAUAACAGUUGGAAACGACUGCUAAUACCGGAUGAUGACGUAAGUCCAAAGAUUUAUCGCCCAAGGAUGAGCCCGCGUAGGAUUAGCUAGUUGGUGAGGUAAGGGCUCACCAAGGCGACGAUCCUUAGCUGGUCUGAGAGGAUGAUCAGCCACACUGGGACUGAGACACGGCCCAGACUCCUACGGGAGGCAGCAGUGGGGAAUAUUGGACAAUGGGCGAAAGCCUGAUCCAGCAAUGCCGCGUGAGUGAUGAAGGCCUUAGGGUUGUAAAGCUCUUUUACCCGGGAUGAUAAUGACAGUACCGGGAGAAUAAGCUCCGGCUAACUCCG